This 253-nucleotide ribosomal RNA is filed under the name uncultured bacterium. RNAcentral's name for it is "partial 16S ribosomal RNA". It matches the Rfam family "Bacterial small subunit ribosomal RNA", at positions 524 to 776 of the family's 1533-position model. The record is from RNAcentral.
UACGUAGGCAGCGAGCGUUGUUCGGAAUUACUGGGCGUAAAGAGUGUGUAGGCGGUGUUCCCAGUCUGUUGUGAAAUCCCUCGGCUUAACCGGGGAACUGCGUCUGAUACUGGAUGGCUGGAGUAUGGGAGAGGGAUGCGGAAUUCCAGGUGUAGCGGUGAAAUGCGUAGAUAUCGAGAGGAACACCUGCGGCGAAGGCGGGUUGCUGGGCUGACACUGACGCUGAGGCGCGAAAGCUAGGGGAGCGAACGGG